CGUGGGUAACCUGCCCUGUACAGGGGGACAACAGCUGGAAACGGCUGCUAAUACCGCAUAAGCCCUUAGCACUGCAUGGUGCAUACGGAAAAGGAUCAAUCCGGUACAGGAUGGACCCGCGUCUGAUUAGCCAGUUGGCAGGGUAACGGCCUACCAAAGCAACGAUCAGUAGCCGAUCUGAGAGGAUGUACGGCCACAUUGGGACUGAGACACGGCCCACACUCCUACGGGAGGCAGCAUUGGGGAAUAUUGCACAAUGGAGGAAACUCUGAUGCAACGACGCCCCGUGAGUGAAGAAGUAUUUCGGUAUGUAAAGCUCUAUCACCAGGGAAGAAAAUGACGGUACCUGACUAAGAAGCACCGGCUAAAUACGUGCCAGCAGCCGCGGUAAUACGUAUGGUGCAAGCGUUAUCCGGAUUUACUGGGUGUAAAGGGAGCGUAGGUGGCAAGGCAAGCCAUAAGUGAAAACCCGGGGCUCAACCGCGGGAUUGCUUUUGGAACUGUCAUGCUAGAGUGCAGGAGGGGUGAGCGGAAUUCCUAGUGUAGCGGUGAAAUGCGUAGAUAUUAGGAGGAACACCGGAGGCGAAGGCGGCUCACUGGACUGUAACUGACACUGACGCUCGAAAGCGUGGGGAGCAAACAGGAUUAGAUACCCUGGUAGUCCACGCGGUAAACGAUGAAUACUAGAUGUCGGGAAGCAUUGCUUCUCGG
RNAcentral lists this ribosomal RNA (711 nucleotides) under uncultured Lachnospiraceae bacterium. RNAcentral's name for it is "bacterial SSU rRNA". It matches the Rfam family "Bacterial small subunit ribosomal RNA", at positions 116 to 843 of the family's 1533-position model. The record is from RNAcentral. Lineage: Bacteria; Bacillati; Bacillota; Clostridia; Lachnospirales; Lachnospiraceae.